This 831-nucleotide ribosomal RNA is filed under the name uncultured bacterium. RNAcentral's name for it is "bacterial SSU rRNA". It matches the Rfam family "Bacterial small subunit ribosomal RNA", at positions 8 to 830 of the family's 1533-position model. The record is from RNAcentral.
AGAGUUUGAUCCUGGCUCAGGAUGAACGCUAUCGGCAGGCUUAACACAUGCAAGUCGAGGGGCAGCGAGAUCAGUGCUUGCACUGAUUGUCGGCGACCGGCGCACGGGUGCGUAACGCGUAUGCAACCUACCCAUUACAGGGGGAUAACACUGAGAAAUCGGUACUAAUACCCCAUAACAUCCAGGGAGGCAUCUUCUUGGGUUGAAAACUCCGGUGGUAAUGGAUGGACAUGCGUCGCAUUAGGUAGACGGCGGGGUAACGGCCCACCGUGCCGACGAUGCGUAGGGGUUCUGAGAGGAAGGCCCCCCACACUGGUACUGAGACACGGACCAGACUCCUACGGGAGGCAGCAGUGAGGAAUAUUGGUCAAUGGCCGAGAGGCUGAACCAGCCAAGUCGCGUGAGGGAAGAAUGUCCUAAGGAUUGUAAACCUCUUUUGUCGGGGAGCAAAAAGGCUCUGCGGAGUCGUAUUGAGAGUACCCGAAGAAAAAGCAUCGGCUAACUCCGUGCCAGCAGCCGCGGUAAUACGGAGGAUGCGAGCGUUAUCCGGAUUUAUUGGGUUUAAAGGGUGCGCAGGCGGCGUGUCAAGCAAGCGGUAAAAUAGCGGGGCUCAACCCCGUCGAGCCGUUUGAACUGGCGCGCUUGAGUUCAGGCGAGGUAGGCGGAAUUCGUGGUGUAGCGGUGAAAUGCAUAGAUAUCACGAAGAACUCCGAUUGCGAAGGCAGCUUACCAGUCUGCGACUGACGCUCAGGCACGAAAGUGUGGGUAUCGAACAGGAUUAGAUACCCUGGUAGUCCACACAGUAAACGAUGAGCGCUAGGUGUCCGGGUU